This 499-nucleotide ribosomal RNA is filed under the name uncultured Alphaproteobacteria bacterium. RNAcentral describes it as "partial 16S ribosomal RNA". It matches the Rfam family "Bacterial small subunit ribosomal RNA", at positions 9 to 546 of the family's 1533-position model. Lineage: Bacteria; Pseudomonadati; Pseudomonadota; Alphaproteobacteria. The record is from RNAcentral.
AGAGUUUGAUCCUGGCUCAGAACGAACGCUGGCGGCAGGCCUAACACAUGCAAGUCGAGCGCACUCUUCGGAGUGAGCGGCGGACGGGUUAGUAACGCGUGGGAAUAUACCCAGAUCUAAGGAAUAGCCACUGGAAACGGUGAGUAAUACCUUAUACGCCCUUNGGGGGAAAGAUUUAUCGGAUUUGGAUUAGCCCGCGUUANAUUAGAUAGUNGGNGGGGUNAUGGCCUACCAAGUCUACGAUCUAUAGCUGGUUNGAGAGGAUGAUCAACAACACUGGGACUGAGACACGGCCCAUACUCCUACGGGAGGCAGCAGUGGGGANUNUUGNACAAUGGGCGCAAGCCUGAUCCACCAUGCCGNGUGAGUGAUGAAAGCCCUANGGUCGUAAAGCUNUUUCCCAGANAUGAUAAUGACAGUUUNUGGUAAAAAAACCCCGNNUUACUUCCUGCCACAGCCGGGGUAAUACAAGGGCGAAUUCCACCCCUGNGGGGCGUUU